This 945-nucleotide ribosomal RNA is filed under the name uncultured organism. RNAcentral's name for it is "bacterial SSU rRNA". It matches the Rfam family "Bacterial small subunit ribosomal RNA", at positions 469 to 1411 of the family's 1533-position model. The record is from RNAcentral.
UUGACGGUACCCUACUAGAAAGGAGCCGCUAACUUCGUGCCAGAAGCGUCGGUAAUACGGGGGCUCCAAGCGUUAUCCGGUGUUAUUGGGCGUAAAGAGUCGUGUAGGUGGUUGGGUAAGUUAUCUUUCCAAAUAUCUUUGCUUAACAAAGAGGAGGGGGAUAAUACUGCUCGACUAGAAUUUUCUCAAGGGAGAUCGGAACUGAGGGAGGAGUAGUGAAAUGCGUUGAUACCCUCGGGAACACCAGUGGCGUAGGCGGAUCUCUGGGAGAAGAUUGACACUGAGACACGAAAGCUAGGGGAGCGAAGCAGAUUAGAGACCUGCGUAGUCCUAGCCGUAAACGCAUGCUUGCUAGCUGCAUGAAUCUACCUUCGGGUGGUAUCGUGUAGCGAAGGUAACCCGUUAAGCAAGCCGCCUGGAAAGUACGGCCGCAAGGCUGAAAUUCAAAGGAAUUGGCGGGGAGGCACACAACCAGUGGAACAUGUGGUUUAAUUCGAGACUAACCGAAGAACCUCACCAGGGUUUGACAUGUAGCUGCACGUCUUAAGAAAUUAAGACUCUCUUGAAGGUGCUACACAGGUGCUGCAUGGCUGUCGUCAGCUCGUUCCGUGAGGAGUGCCCUUAAGUGGGACAACGAGCGCAACCCCUAUUACAUGUUAGAAAUGUCAUGUAAGACUGCCUUGCCAUUUGGCGGGGAGGAAGGAGGGGCAGACGUCAAGUCCGCAUGGUCCUUAUGCCCUGGGCUACACACAUGUUACAAUGAGUACGGCAAUGAGUCUGUCGCGAGCACGUAAGUGUAAGCUAAUCUCUUAAAUGUACUCUCAGUGGGGAUUGAGGUCUGCAACUCGACCUCAUGAACACGGAAUUGGUAGUACUCGCGGGUCAGCUAUACCGCGGUGAUACGUUCUUGCCUCUUGCACACACCGCCCGUCAAACCAGCAAAGU